CCUACGGGUGGCAGCAGUGAGGAAUAUUGGUCAAUGGGCUUACGCCUGAACCAGCCAAGUCGCGUGAGGGAAGACUGCCCUAUGGGUUGUAAACCUCUUUUGUCAGGGAGCAACGCCGGCUACGUGUAGCCUGCCUGAGAGUCCCUGAAGACAAAGCCUCGGCUAACUCCGUGCCAGCAGCCGCGGUAAUACGGAGGAUGCGAGCGUUAUCCGGCGUUAUUGGGGUUAAAGGGUGCGUAUGCGGAAUGCCAAGUCAGCGGUAAAAUCGCGGGGCCCAACCCCGGUCCGCCGUUGAAACUGGCGGUCUGGAGUGGGGGAGAAGUAUGCGGAAUGCGUGGUGUAGCGGUGAAAUG
RNAcentral lists this ribosomal RNA (353 nucleotides) under uncultured bacterium. RNAcentral describes it as "partial 16S ribosomal RNA". It matches the Rfam family "Bacterial small subunit ribosomal RNA", at positions 338 to 688 of the family's 1533-position model. The record is from RNAcentral.